Setaria italica (foxtail millet) is the source of this 1124-nucleotide long non-coding RNA. RefSeq lists it as uncharacterized. The record is from RefSeq and is a predicted model, not a curated record. The transcript is spliced from 4 exons. NCBI's taxonomy places the organism in Eukaryota, Viridiplantae, Streptophyta, Magnoliopsida, Poales, Poaceae.
GAGAAAAUGAAACUUGAACGGAACUCGUACUGGCCGAAGGAACGUCCGGCUACGCGCAUCUUCGUGUUGGCCGUCGUCGUCGCCCUUGCUCCCCUCUCCUCUGGCCAAGCCGGCGCUCCGCCCUUCCACGACUGCUUGCGUCGCCUCACCGGUGCUCGCCAUUCGUCCCGCCGCCGCGGCCGCUCUCGCUCUUAAGGAAUGGGACUGUGGACGUUGCUAGAGGGUUUUUUGCUUCUCGCAAAUGCGUUGGCGAUACUGAACGAAGACCGUUUUCUUGCUCCUAGGGGAUGGAGCAUGUCUGAAGUGUCAGGAAACGGGCAAACAAAGUCGUUGAAGGGCCAGAUCGUGGGGCUUAUCUACGCCACGCAAUUUCUGAGGAUGCCCUUGAUAGCCCUUAAUGUUCUUAUCAUUGUUGUGAAGUUGGUGUCAGGCUGAGCCUCCUUGUAUAGUUUUGGCUGUUGGGUUGGAUCAAUAUCAGUUCCAGCAUUAUGUAAAAGUUAAUUAUACUCAAAGUUGCUGGAAAUAUGUUUGUGUUGGCUCCAAUGUGGAUUUCUGUUAUUGUUCUGGUAAAUUAAUUCUGGUCAGAAGACAGUUUUUUCAGCAUUUAUACUGUCAAAGUAUGUGUUGUGUGCAAGUGUGAUCAAUUUGUUUGAAAUGUGUCUUAUGCAUUACGCGUGGUUAUCUUUCCUUUGUUCUUACUUAUGAAUUGCUGACACAUUUGUUGUUUAUGAGCAUGUUUUAUGGUUGCCUCCCCCUAUUUUAGUGCUCAGGGUCAGUGUUAUUUUGCAGUUGGAUAAUGCUUUACAGCUAAAGGCAUUUGUCUACUACCUUAGGCUGAGUGGUGAUACAAACCAACCUUUUGUGUAAAAAUGCUGUCAGUACAUUUCAAUGCUACAGAUGCUGAUCAAGUGGAGAAGAAAAAUUAUCUAUUCACUCAUUUCUGUUGCAACUUGCAGAGAGGUUCAGGUUAUGUUCAUAUGUAAGACCUCCUCUUAGUCUAUAGACACUGCACUUUUGUUAACGUGAGGUCCACACCAAGCUCUGGCUCAACAAUGAGUUUAAGUGUUGGAGAAUGCUCGUAGUGUGGUGAGAGCUUCAGAAUAAACUUGGAGAUGAUAAGAGAG